GUAACCUGAUUUGUGGGGGAUAACCAGAAGAAAGUCUGGCUAAUACCGCAUACGUAGUACGACAUGGGAAAAGUACUAGAAAGGAUGCCUCUACUUGUAAGCAUUCACAGAAGGAUGGGCCUGCGUUGCAUUAGCUUGUUGGUGGGGUAAUGGCCUACCAAGGCGACGAUGCAUAGCUGGUCUGAGAGGAUGAUCAGUCACACUGGAACUGAGACACGGUCCAGACUCCUACGGGAGGCAGCAGUGGGGAAUAUUGCGCAAUGGGGGAAACCCUGACGCAGCAAUGCCGCGUGAGUGAGGAAGGCCUUCGGGUUGUAAAGCUCUGUCAGAUAAGAAGAAUGGUCAUGGGUCUAAUAGGCCUAUGAUUUGACGGUACUUAUCAAAGGAAGCCACCGGCUAACUUCGUGCCAGCAGCCGCGGUAAUACGAAGGGUGCAAGCGUUGUUCGGAUUUACUGGGCGUAAAGCGCGCGCAGGCGGAUUAUUAAGCCAGAUGUGAAAUCCCGGGGCUCAACCCCGGAACUGCGUCUGGAACUGGUAAUCUAGAGUUAUAGAGGGGAGAGCGGAAUUUCGCAUGUAGGGGUAAAAUCCGUAGAGAUGCGAAGGAACACCAGCGCCGAAGGGGGCUCUCUGGCUAUUAACUGACGCUGAGGCGCGAAAGCGUGGGUAGCAAACAGGAUUAGAUACCCUGGUAGUCCACGCCGUAAACGAUGAGUACUAGAUAUUGGAGCCUUUGACCGCUUCAGUGUCGCAGCUAACGCAUUAAGUACUCCGCCUGGGAAGUACGGUCGCAAGACUAAAACUCAAAGGAAUUGACGGGGGCCCGCACAAGCGGUGGAUUAUGUGGUUUAAUUCGAAGCAACGCGCAGAACCUUACCUAGGCUUGAAAUCCCGAGAAGAUCGACCAAAAUUGAUUGUGCUCUUCGGAGAACUCGGUGACAGGCGCUGCAUGGCUGUCGUCAGCUCGUGUCGUGAGAUGUUGGGUUAAGUCUCGCAACGAGCGCAACCCCUAUCCUUAGUUGCCAGCAUUAAGUUGGGCACUCUAGGGAGACUGCCUGGGUUAACCAGGAGGAAGGUGGGGAUGACGUCAAGUCCUCAUGGCCCUUAUGUCUAGGGCUACACACGUAAUACAAUGGUGCAUACAAAGAGACGCGAUCAGGUGACUGUCAGCAAAUCUCAAAAAGUGCAUCUCAGUCCGGAUUGGAGUCUGCAACUCGACUCCAUGAAGUUGGAAUCGCUAGUAAUCGCAGAUCAGC
This 1254-nucleotide ribosomal RNA is filed under the name Bacteriovorax sp. RL3S4-S. RNAcentral describes it as "bacterial SSU rRNA". It matches the Rfam family "Bacterial small subunit ribosomal RNA", at positions 121 to 1353 of the family's 1533-position model. The record is from RNAcentral. Lineage: Bacteria; Pseudomonadati; Bdellovibrionota; Bacteriovoracia; Bacteriovoracales; Bacteriovoracaceae.